GAGAAGCUUGCUUCUCUUGAGAGCGGCGGACGGGUGAGUAAUGCCUAGGAAUCUGCCUGGUAGUGGGGGAUAACGUUCGGAAACGGACGCUAAUACCGCAUACGUCCUACGGGAGAAAGCAGGGGACCUUCGGGCCUUGCGCUAUCAGAUGAGCCUAGGUCGGAUUAGCUAGUUGGUGAGGUAAUGGCUCACCAAGGCGACGAUCCGUAACUGGUCUGAGAGGAUGAUCAGUCACACUGGAACUGAGACACGGUCCAGACUCCUACGGGAGGCAGCAGUGGGGAAUAUUGGACAAUGGGCGAAAGCCUGAUCCAGCCAUGCCGCGUGUGUGAAGAAGGUCUUCGGAUUGUAAAGCACUUUAAGUUGGGAGGAAGGGCAUUAACCUAAUACGUUAGUGUUUUGACGUUACCGACAGAAUAAGCACCGGCUAACUCUGUGCCAGCAGCCGCGGUAAUACAGAGGGUGCAAGCGUUAAUCGGAAUUACUGGGCGUAAAGCGCGCGUAGGUGGUUUGUUAAGUUGGAUGUGAAAUCCCCGGGCUCAACCUGGGAACUGCAUUCAAAACUGACUGACUAGAGUAUGGUAGAAGGUGGUGGGAAUUUCCUGUGUAGCGGUGAAAUGCGUACAUAUAGGA
Molecule: ribosomal RNA, 633 nt
Filed under: uncultured bacterium
Lineage: Bacteria
Description: bacterial SSU rRNA
Rfam family: Bacterial small subunit ribosomal RNA
Source: RNAcentral